RNAcentral lists this ribosomal RNA (253 nucleotides) under uncultured bacterium. RNAcentral describes it as "partial 16S ribosomal RNA". It matches the Rfam family "Bacterial small subunit ribosomal RNA", at positions 524 to 776 of the family's 1533-position model. The record is from RNAcentral.
UACAGAGGUCUCAAGCGUUGUUCGGAUUCAUUGGGCGUAAAGGGUGCGUAGGUGGCGCCGUAAGUGGGGUGUGAAAUCUCGGGGCUUAACUCCGAAACUGCAUUCCAUACUGCGGUGCUCGAGGACUGGAGAGGAGACUGGAAUUUACGGUGUAGCAGUGAAAUGCGUAGAGAUCGUAAGGAAGACCAGUGGCGAAGGCGGGUCUCUGGACAGUUCCUGACACUGAGGCACGAAGGCCAGGGGAGCAAACGGG